This is a long non-coding RNA of Nerophis lumbriciformis (worm pipefish), 966 nucleotides long. RefSeq lists it as uncharacterized. The record is from RefSeq and is a predicted model, not a curated record. Lineage: Eukaryota; Metazoa; Chordata; Actinopteri; Syngnathiformes; Syngnathidae.
GACUACCCAUUCAACCCUGGAAAAAAAUCUAAAUAAAUUGCAAAAGUCGGACUUUAAACAACGACUGGACGACAAAGUAAGAAUGUUCCGCCCCAAGCAUGUGCUCGAGUCAUUGUUUUUUGGCGGACCUUACAAGCGACGGACACAUUGAUACAGAUGAGCAGUAACAAUGGUAGAAAUCCCAACAUGUAAGCUUCAUCACCAAACUUGGUCAAACAUUUACUGGAUACAAGAGGUCUGGUAAGGUCCAAAAGCGACCACUCCGCUGGAUGGCAAAAUAAAACAGCUUUGCCAUUUGCCAGUUUUUCGGCCUAACUGUCACAACCCCUGUGCAUCCCAAUGUGCAUUCAUCUGUGCGCUGCGCUGAGCGCACCUCCAAACGCGCACCACUCCGGCUGCAGCAGGCGGCUGCAAUCAAUCUGCAAUCAGUCAGCACUCAACACACAUGUCGCUAAUGAGCUCCCUGGGCUUCUUAAGCCAAAGCAGACCUGCGUUCAGGGCCAGAACGUAGUUACCUGUUCCGUACAUCCUUCUUCGCUCCCCGGAUUCAAGCUGUGUGUCUUGUCUCCCUGGAUUCCCUCUGUUCUCCUUGCUGCCUUCCUGGAUCUCGACCUCUCGCCUGGACACAAACUCUGACGCCUCACUCCUGCCCUUGACCUCACACCUGCUCACGGACUUUCGAGCUUGCCUUGCCCUUCCUGGACUUCCGCCUGUCACUCAACACGCACCUUCAAUGACUCCCGGUAACACUCAACAUAGACUCACUUCACAUAGUCGCACACCAUACACAAUAGAGCUAAACGACGUCAUGCAUUCUGUGCCGUCUUCUUCCUCCGCUGUACCAUAACACUAUCGAAAUGUUUCUGAAUAUCAUUCCAUGACAUGUCUUUUUCUAAAUUGUUUUUUUCUAAAAUGCAUUCCUAGAAUGAUGUUCAUUUAUUUUACCAUAAAACUUUUUACCAUUUA